Molecule: long non-coding RNA, 240 nt
Organism: Pistacia vera
Lineage: Eukaryota; Viridiplantae; Streptophyta; Magnoliopsida; Sapindales; Anacardiaceae
Exons: 2
Source: RefSeq, a predicted model, not a curated record
CCAAGUGGAGAGUGGGUGCCAAAAAUUAAAGCAAAUAAUGGGUGCUUACUCACGAGGCCAUCUCUAUUAACAUUAAUAAUGAGGCCAUGGCUACCAUGAAAGUCAUCUUCCAUCAAUCUUCUUCGGAAUUUCUUCCAAAUUUCUUCUCUUUCAUGCACUCAUCAAAGUUGUAUUGAUUAAGAAAAGAGAACUAGUGGAUCAUCCAAUUUCGACGUAAUUCAUUGGAACCAGAUUUUCUAA